Melopsittacus undulatus (budgerigar) is the source of this 2797-nucleotide RNA transcript. It is a transcript of the gene named heat shock protein 90 alpha family class B member 1, with no coding region annotated. The record is from RefSeq and is a predicted model, not a curated record. NCBI's taxonomy places the organism in Eukaryota, Metazoa, Chordata, Aves, Psittaciformes, Psittaculidae. The transcript is spliced from 12 exons.
UGCUAAUGGGCUGUGCUUACCUUGCAGAUGCCUGAGCAAGUGCAGCGCGAUGAGGAGGAUGCAGAGACCUUCGCCUUCCAGGCGGAGAUCGCCCAGCUCAUGUCGCUCAUCAUCAACACCUUCUACUCCAACAAGGAGAUCUUCCUGCGGGAGCUCAUCUCCAACGCCUCUGACGCACUGGAUAAGAUCCGCUAUGAGAGCCUGACUGACCCCUCAAAGCUAGACAGCGGUAAGGAUCUCAAGAUUGAUAUAGUCCCCAACCUCCGGGAGCGCACACUCACCUUGGUGGACACUGGCAUUGGGAUGACAAAAGCAGACCUCAUCAACAACCUGGGCACCAUUGCCAAAUCUGGAACCAAAGCCUUCAUGGAAGCCCUGCAGGCUGGUGCAGACAUUUCCAUGAUCGGACAGUUUGGUGUGGGUUUCUAUUCUGCUUAUUUAGUGGCUGAGAAGGUGGUUGUUAUUACCAAGCACAAUGAUGAUGAGCAGUAUGCUUGGGAGUCAUCAGCUGGGGGCUCCUUCACUGUCCGAACUGACCAUGGUGAGCCCAUUGGACGGGGCACCAAAGUGAUCCUGUAUUUGAAGGAGGACCAGACAGAGUACUUAGAGGAGCGGCGUGUCAAAGAGGUGGUGAAGAAGCACUCUCAGUUCAUUGGCUACCCCAUCACACUCUAUACUGAGAAAGAGCGUGAGAAAGAGAUCAGUGAUGAUGAGGCAGAGGAGGAGAAGGAUGAGAAGGAAGAGGACGAGUCAGUAUCCAAAGAUGAGGAGAAACCCAAAAUUGAGGAUGUGGGCUCUGAUGAGGACGAAGAGGAAAGAGGCAAAGGCAAGAAGAAGAUGACCAAGAAAAUCAAGGAGAAAUACAUUGACCAGGAGGAACUGAACAAGACCAAGCCUAUUUGGACACGCAACCCUGAUGACAUCACCCAGGAGGAGUAUGGCGAGUUCUAUAAGAGCCUUACCAAUGACUGGGAGGACCAUCUGGCUGUUAAGCACUUCUCUGUGGAAGGGCAGCUGGAGUUCAGGGCCCUGCUUUUCAUCCCACGCCGUGCCCCUUUUGACCUCUUUGAGAACAAGAAAAAGAAGAAUAACAUUAAGCUGUAUGUGAGGCGUGUCUUUAUCAUGGACAGCUGUGAUGAGCUCAUCCCUGAGUACCUAAACUUUAUCCGGGGUGUUGUGGACUCUGAGGACCUGCCUCUGAACAUCUCCCGUGAGAUGCUCCAGCAGAGCAAGAUCCUCAAGGUGAUCCGCAAAAACAUUGUGAAGAAGUGUUUGGAGCUCUUCUCCGAGCUGGCAGAGGAUAAGGAAAACUACAAGAAAUUUUAUGAGGCUUUUUCCAAGAAUCUGAAGCUGGGUGUCCACGAGGACUCGACCAACCGAAAGCGCCUUUCGGAGCUGCUGCGUUACCACACAUCCCAGUCAGGUGAUGAGAUGACUUCGCUUUCAGAGUAUGUGUCCCGUAUGAAGGACAACCAGAAGAGUAUCUACUACAUCACAGGGGAGAGUAAGGAGCAGGUUGCCAACUCAGCCUUUGUGGAACGCGUGCGGAAGCGUGGCUUUGAGGUGGUGUACAUGACAGAGCCCAUUGAUGAGUACUGCGUGCAGCAGCUCAAGGAGUUUGAUGGCAAGACCGUGGUAUCGGUCACCAAAGAGGGACUGGAGCUGCCUGAAGAUGAGGAGGAGAAAAAGAAGAUGGAGGAGAGCAAGGCCAAGUUCGAGACCCUCUGCAAACUCAUGAAGGAGAUCCUGGACAAGAAGGUGGAGAAGAGGAGCCGCUAAAGGAAACUGGAGAUCCCAGCAUGCACCAUCUUGCUCUAAGCAGCCAGGCUGCAGGCGAGGGGCACUGACCCAAAAACGUGCAUUGAUGGGAGAAGGUAACUGUCUCAAACCGGUUGGUCUCCUCUCCCUGCUGCAUUGUCACCAGCACCUACGGUUGGACAGCCAACAUGGAGCGCAUCAUGAAGGCUCAGGCACUGCGAGACAACUCUACCAUGGGCUAUAUGAUGGCCAAGAAGCACCUGGAGAUCAACCCUGACCACCCAAUUGUGGAAACCCUCCGUCAAAAGGCUGAUGCUGACAAGAAUGACAAAGCUGUCAAAGAUCUGGUGGUGCUACUCUUUGAGACUGCUCUGCUCUCCUCUGGCUUCUCCCUGGAGGAUCCACAAACCCACUCCAACCGCAUCUACAGGAUGAUCAAACUGGGACUUGGCAUUGAUGAAGAUGAGGUGAUUGCAGAGGUACCCAGUGCAGCUGCCCCUGAUGAAAUUCCUCCUCUGGAGGGAGAUGAAGAUACAUCCCGCAUGGAAGAGGUAGACUAAAGCAGGAGGAAGCCUCUUCCCUCACCUGCCAGGCCUCUGCCCGUUAUCAUUUCAUGUCUGCUUAGAAGAGAGGGUCUGCUGCCACCAGCUGCUACUGACUCCUUGGUGGUAUCUGUUUUCUUGGGUUUUCUUGUUAUUUUUGGCAGGGGUGCAGGAGGUCAUUCCCCAUUUCUCAAUAGUGAGUGAUUCAGACAGCCUGAGGCAUGUCUGUUCUGUGUCUCUCUGCUUGUGUAGGAACAGCUCCCAUCAACUGAUGGUGAGUGGAGGUGAGAAUGCAUCAGACUUCUCUGUCCCCACCAUGGGGUCUUCCAUAUUCCAAGUAGGCAUCAAACCUUGUUCUACUGGGGUGGGAGAGGCCUUUGAGCUGCUGCUUCCCUGAACCCCCAGGGUAGGAUGUUGUAUUUCAGUUAUGUUUUGUUUAUUUUUCUGGGGCUUUUUGUUCUUCUGAAAUUAAAAUAUUGAAGAAUGUGAUUUACCUA